Molecule: non-coding RNA, 791 nt
Organism: Kogia breviceps (pygmy sperm whale)
Lineage: Eukaryota; Metazoa; Chordata; Mammalia; Artiodactyla; Physeteridae
Source: RefSeq, a predicted model, not a curated record
UACAAAUAGAAAUACAUGCUCACUAAUACUCCGUGGGGAGAGAUCCACGCAGGCUGCGGCGAUAGAAAAGGUGUCACAGAGAAAAUGAAACUUCACCUGGGCCUGGGCCAGUGGUACCCAGUCUGUGGGUUUUUGUGGACUUGAGGUGUGGCCUUGUACAGAUACUUCAGUACGCUUUUAAAGGGAGGCAGUAGGGAUCAAGAACAAGGGCUUUGGAGCCGGCUGCUUUGCUGCUUUGCUUUAAGUCAUGGUUCUACUACCCCUGGUUGUGCGACCUCAGGCGAAUAAGUGCACACAUCUAGGCCUCAUUUUCCCCACCUGUUAAAUGGAAACAACAACAGCUCUCACUUCAGAAGGUUGUUGUGAAAAUCAAAGUAGAUUAAUUUAUGCAAAAAUCUUGGCGUCUCUAAGCCCUUGAUAAAGGUGAUCUUCUAAUAAUAUUGAAUACUAAACACAGACCAGGUUCCAGUCUCAAUCUUUUACUCAGGGAAGUCAGAUGUGGUGUACAGGGUCUAGGACCCGGUGGCAAAACAAGACAGAGGGCUGUGUUGGAGAGAGGGGCUGACAUACUUUGUGAGCUCCAGUGAAUUUUCUGCUGUGAGACUCUCAGCUGUGACUGACCACCUGUUUAAACUGCAGGCCGAAGGAGCCCCCUUAGCCCUCUCUGUACUGGUUUGUUUUCUGAGUGGGCAGCCUGUGCCGCUGGGUAAGCUGGGAAUAGGUCAACAUUGGCUGCAACCAAGCAAUGGCAUGAUAUUUCCCCCAAAUCCUAUUAAAGAAAAAAAAAGAAA